GACGAACGCUGGCGGCGUGCCUAAUACAUGCAAGUAGAACGCACAGUUUAUACCGUAGCUUGCUACACCAUAGACUGUGAGUUGCGAACGGGUGAGUAACGCGUAGGUAACCUGCCUGGUAGCGGGGGAUAACUAUUGGAAACGAUAGCUAAUACCGCAUAAUAUUAAUUAUUGCAUGAUAAUUAAUUGAAAGGUGCAAUUGCACCACUACCAGAUUGACCUGCGUUGUAUUAGCUAGUAGGUGAGGUAACGGCUCACCUAGGCGACGAUACAUAGCCGAACUGAGAGGGUGAUCGGCCACACUGGGACUGAGAAACGGCCCAGACUCCUACGGGAGGCAGCAGUAGGGAAGCUUCGGCAAUGGACGAAAGUCUGAACGAGCAACGCCGCGUGAGGGAAGAAGGUUUUCGGAUCGUAAAGCUCGGUUGUAAGAGAAGAACGGGUGUGAGAGUGGAAAGUUCACACUGUGACGGUAUCUUACCAGAAAGGGACGGCUAACUACGUG
Molecule: ribosomal RNA, 505 nt
Filed under: uncultured bacterium
Lineage: Bacteria
Description: partial 16S ribosomal RNA
Rfam family: Bacterial small subunit ribosomal RNA
Source: RNAcentral